Molecule: ribosomal RNA, 497 nt
Filed under: uncultured bacterium
Lineage: Bacteria
Description: partial 16S ribosomal RNA
Rfam family: Bacterial small subunit ribosomal RNA
Source: RNAcentral
GACGAACGCUGGCGGCGUGCCUAAUACAUGCAAGUUGAGCGCUGAAGGUUGGUACUUGUACCGACUGGAUGAGCAGCGAACGGGUGAGUAACGCGUGGGGAAUCUGCCUUUGAGCGGGGGACAACAUUUGGAAACGAAUGCUAAUACCGCAUAAAAACUUUAAACACAAGUUUUAAGUUUGAAAGAUGCAAUUGCAUCCCUCAAAGAUGAUCCCGCGUUGUAUUAGCUAGUUGGUGAGGUAAAGGCUCACCAAGGCGAUGAUACAUAGCCGACCUGAGAGGGUGAUCGGCCACAUUGGGACUGAGACACGGCCCAAACUCCUACGGGAGGCAGCAGUAGGGAAUCUUCGGCAAUGGACGAAAGUCUGACCGAGCAACGCCGCGUGAGUGAAGAAGGUUUUCGGAUCGUAAAACUCUGUUGGUAGAGAAGAACGUUGGUGAGAGUGGAAAGCUCAUCAAGUGACGGUAACUACCCAGAAAGGGACGGCUAACUACGUG